GCUAUAUACAGGGGGUACCGGUACAGAGUCAAUGUGGAGGCUAUAUACAGGGUAUUAUGGUACAGAGUCAAUGUGGAGGCUAUAUACAGGGUAUUAUGGUACAGAGUCAAUGUGGAGGCUAUAUACAGGGGGUACUGGUACAGAGUCAAUGUGGAGGCUAUAUACAGGGGGUACCGGUACAGAGUCAAUGUGGAGGCUAUAUACAGGGUAUUACGGUACAGAGUCAAUGUGGAGGCUAUAUACAGGGUGUUACGGUACAGAGUCAAUGUGGAGGCUAUAUACAGGGGUACCGGUACAGAGUCAAUGUGGAGGCUAUAUACAGGGUGUUACGGUACAGAGUCAAUGUGGAGG
This is a long non-coding RNA of Oncorhynchus tshawytscha (Chinook salmon), 351 nucleotides long. NCBI's taxonomy places the organism in Eukaryota, Metazoa, Chordata, Actinopteri, Salmoniformes, Salmonidae. The record is from Ensembl.